Molecule: ribosomal RNA, 403 nt
Filed under: Verrucomicrobiota bacterium
Lineage: Bacteria; Pseudomonadati; Verrucomicrobiota
Description: Verrucomicrobia bacterium partial 16S ribosomal RNA
Rfam family: Bacterial small subunit ribosomal RNA
Source: RNAcentral
UGGGGAAUAUUGCACAAUGGGGGAAACCCUGAUGCAGCGACGCCGCGUGAGCGAAGAAGGCUUUCGAGUCGUAAAGCUCUGUCCUAUGAGAAGAUAAUGACGGUAUCAUAGGAGGAAGCCCUGGCUAAAUACGUGCCAGCAGCCGCGGUAAUACGUAUGGGGCGAGCGUUGUCCGGAAUUAUUGGGCGUAAAGGGUACGUAGGCGGUUUUUUAAGUCAGGUGUCAAAGCGUGGAGCUUAACUCCAUUAAGCACUUGAAACUGAAAGACUUGAGUGAAGGAGAGGAAAGUGGAAUUCCUAGUGUAGCGGUGAAAUGCGUAGAUAUUAGGAGGAAUACCGGUGGCGAAAGCGACUUUCUGGACUUUUACUGACGCUCAGGUACGAAAGCGUGGGGAGCAAACAGG